Molecule: ribosomal RNA, 988 nt
Filed under: human gut metagenome
Description: bacterial LSU rRNA
Rfam family: Bacterial large subunit ribosomal RNA
Source: RNAcentral
AACUAUAACGGUCCUAAGGUAGCGAAAUUCCUUGUCAGGUAAGUUCUGACCCGCACGAAAGGCGUAACGAUUUGGGCGCUGUCUCAGCUGUAGACUCGGUGAAGUCUUAGUACCUGUGAAGAUGCAGGUUACCCGCGACUAGACGGAAAGACCCCAUGGAGCUUCACUGCAGGUUGAUAUUGGGAUUUGAUGCAGCAUGUACAGGAUAGGUAGGAGGCAAAGAGAUGGAUACGCCAGUAUUCAAGGAGCCGCUGUUGGGAUACUACCCCUGUUGUAUUGGAUUUCUAACCGGACGACGUAGAGCCGUUGACGGGACAGUGUCAGUCGGGCAGUUUGACUGGGGCGGUCGCCUCCCAAAGAGUAACGGAGGCGCCCAAAGAUACCCUCAGCUUGGAUGGAAACCAAGCGCAGAGUGCAAAGGCAAAAGGGUGUUUGACUGCGAGACCCACAAGUCGAGCAGGGACGAAAGUCGGGCUUAGUGAUCCGGCGGUGCUGAAUGGAAAGGCCGUCGCUCAACGGAUAAAAGCUACCCUGGGGAUAACAGGCUGAUCUCCCCCAAGCGUCCACAGCGACGGGGAGGUUUGGCACCUCGAUGUCGGCUCGUCACAUCCUGGGGCUGAAUUCGGUCCCAAGGGUUCGGCUGUUCGCCGAUUAAAGUGGCACGCGAGCUGGGUUCAGAACGUCGUGAGACAGUUCGGUCCCUAUCUGUUGCGGGCGUAAGAGAUUUGAAGGGAGCUGUCCUUAGUACGAGAGGACCGGGAUGGACGUACCUCUGGUGCACCAGUUGUCCUGCCAAGGGCAUAGCUGGGUAGCUAUGUACGGACGAGAUAAACGCUGAAAGCAUCUAAGCGUGAAACUCCCCCUAAGAUGAGAUCUCUCAUCCUUCAUGGAGUAAGGGCCCAGGAAGACUACCUGGUUGAUAGGCCGGAGGUGGAAGUGCAGUAAUGUAUGCAGCUGACCGGUACUAAUAGUCCGAGGGCUUGACCAA